Molecule: ribosomal RNA, 479 nt
Filed under: uncultured bacterium
Lineage: Bacteria
Description: partial 16S ribosomal RNA
Rfam family: Bacterial small subunit ribosomal RNA
Source: RNAcentral
AACAAACGCUGGCGGCGUGCCUAAUACAUGCAAGUCGAACGGGGAAAGCUUUCGGGUGAGUACUAGUGGCGCACGGGUGAGUAACGCGUGGAUAAUCUGCCCUCGAAUGGGGAAUAACUAGUCGAAAGAUUAGCUAAUACCGCAUAAGACCACGACUACUGAGGUAGUUGGGGUCAAAGGAGCAAUUCGUUUGAGGAUGAGUCCGCGUAAGAUUAGCUAGUUGGUGAGGUAAUGGCUCACCAAGGCGAUGAUCUUUAACUGGUCUGAGAGGAUGAUCAGUCACACUGGAACUGAGACACGGUCCAGACUCCUACGGGAGGCAGCAGUAGGGAAUAUUGGACAAUGGGGGCAACCCUGAUCCAGCGACGCCGCGUGAGCGAUGAAGGCCUUUGGGUUGUAAAGCUCUGUUGUAAGGGAAAAAGUUCUGAUUGUACCUUACGAGAAAGGAUCGGCUAACUUCGUGCCAGCAGCCGCGGUAA